UGGAAGUAAAAAGUCGUAACAAGGUCUCCGUUGGUGAACCAGCGGAGGGAUCAUUACCGAGUUUACAACUCCCAAACCCAAUGUGAACGUUACCAAACUGUUGCCUCGGCGGGAUCUCUGCCCCGGGUGCGUCGCAGCCCCGGACCAAGGCGCCCGCCGGAGGACCAACCAAAAACUCUUUUGUAUACCCCCUCGCGGGUUUUUUAUAUCUGAGCCAUCUCGGCGCCUCUCGUAGGCGUUUCGAAAAUGAAUCAAAACUUUCAACAACGGAUCUCUUGGUUCUGGCAUCGAUGAAGAACGCAGCGAAAUGCGAUAAGUAAUGUGAAUUGCAGAAUUCAGUGAAUCAUCGAAUCUUUGAACGCACAUUGCGCCCGCCAGUAUUCUGGCGGGCAUGCCUGUCCGAGCGUCAUUUCAACCCUCGAACCCCUCCGGGGGGUCGGCGUUGGGGAUCGGCCCUUUACGGGGCCGGCCCCGAAAUACAGUGGCGGUCUCGCCGCAGCCUCUCCUGCGCAGUAGUUUGCACACUCGCAUCGGGAGCGCGGCGCGUCCAUUGCCGUAAAACACCCAACUUUCUGAAAUGUUGACCUCGGAUCAGGUAGGAAUACCCGCUGAACUUAAGCAUAUCAAUAAGCGGAGG
Molecule: ribosomal RNA, 637 nt
Filed under: fungal sp. ARIZ L263
Lineage: Eukaryota; Fungi
Description: eukaryotic LSU rRNA
Rfam family: 5.8S ribosomal RNA (bases 256-409)
Source: RNAcentral